This 838-nucleotide long non-coding RNA is filed under the name Capsella grandiflora. RNAcentral's name for it is "long non-coding RNA (CGRA_LNC001545)". Lineage: Eukaryota; Viridiplantae; Streptophyta; Magnoliopsida; Brassicales; Brassicaceae. The record is from RNAcentral.
AAUGGAAGGUGUGUAAGGCCAAUAGGUUCCAAGCUUGUAAAACUUGAGGUAGUCAUUCCAAUCAAAGAAUACUUUGAGGGAUUUAGAGGUUUUUGUAGCUUCCAAGGCUUUAGGACUGGCACACACAAUACCAAGUCCUGUUGGUAGAGAUAAGGCUUUCUGGGAGCCGGUCAAGGCAACAUCCACUCCCCACUCAUCCAUUCGGAAAUCAAGCGCACAAAUGGACGAGACACCGUCCACAAGCAGCAAGGCCGGGUGCUUGUAGUGAUCUGUUUUAUACACUUGUGUUAGUGAGAUUUAAAACAGAGGAAACACACAAAAAUACAAGGAGAUGAUUAGUGAGGAGUUAAUAACCAAGGAGGGUUCGGACAGCAGAGAUGUCAUUGGUGACUCCAGUAGCUGUCUCAUUGUGGACAAUGCAAAUGGCUUUGAUGGAAUGACUCGCAUCUUCAGAGAGCUUCGAGGCCAACACUUGGAGAUUAGCACCUUGUCCCCAAUCACUCUCAACCACAUCAACAUUGAAAUUUAGCCUCUUCUGCUGGUCAAUCCAGAGCAAGCUAAACUGUCCAAUCAGAAACGAGACGAUCCUGUCUCCAGGAGAUAGCGUGUUGGUCAAGGCACUCUCCCAAGCACCAGUCCCUGUGGUUGGAAACAGAAACGGUGUCCCAGAUGUUGUCUUGAAUAUCUUCUUCACAUCUUCCAACAAAGUUUUCGUCAGUGCCGGAAUAGCCGGUGACCGGUAAUCCUCGUUGUUCCGGUUCAUCGCCCGGAUCACCGGUUCCGGUAUGUUCACUGGCCCCGGCACAAACAGAUGGUGCCUCCCUGGUCCAUACAUGUA